RNAcentral lists this ribosomal RNA (462 nucleotides) under uncultured bacterium. Its description in RNAcentral is "bacterial SSU rRNA". It matches the Rfam family "Bacterial small subunit ribosomal RNA", at positions 29 to 502 of the family's 1533-position model. The record is from RNAcentral.
AGUGAACGCUGGCGGCGUGCUUAACACAUGCAAGUCGAACGAGAACGGGAUAUAGCUUGCUAUAUUUGUCAGCUAAGUGGCGCACGGGUGAGUAAUGUAUAGGUAAUAUGCCUCUUACUAAGGGAUAACAAUUGGAAACGAUUGCUAAUACCUUAUAUGCCUUUAAGACUAAAGUCUGCAAGGGAAAGAUUUAUUGGUAAGAGAUUAGCCUGUAUUGUAUCAGCUAGUUGGUGAGGUAAUGGCUCACCAAGGCUAUGACGCAUAACUGGUUUGAGAGGAUGAUCAGUCACACUGGAACUGAGACACGGUCCAGACUCCUACGGGAGGCAGCAGUGGGGAAUAUUGCACAAUGGACGAAAGUCUGAUGCAGCAACGCCGCGUGGAGGAUGACACAUUCGGUGCGUAAACUCCUUUUAUAUAGGAAGAUAAUGACGGUACUAUAUGAAUAAGCACCGGCUAACU